UACGUAGGGACCAAGCGUUGUCCGGAAUCAUUGGGCGUAAAGCGCGUGUAGGCGGUCCGGUAAGUCCGCUGUGAAAGUCGAGGGCUCAACCCUCGAAUGCCGGUGGAUACUGUCGGGCUUGAGUACGGAAGAGGAGAGUGGAAUUCCUGGUGUAGCGGUGAAAUGCGCAGAUAUCAGGAAGAACACCCGUGGCUAAGGCGGCUCUCUAGUACGGUACUGACGCUGAGACGCGAAAGCGUGGGGAGCGAACAGG
Molecule: ribosomal RNA, 253 nt
Filed under: uncultured bacterium
Lineage: Bacteria
Description: partial 16S ribosomal RNA
Rfam family: Bacterial small subunit ribosomal RNA
Source: RNAcentral